Molecule: transfer RNA, 86 nt
Filed under: Chloropicon laureae
Lineage: Eukaryota; Viridiplantae; Chlorophyta; Chloropicophyceae; Chloropicales; Chloropicaceae
Rfam family: tRNA
About the family: Transfer RNA (tRNA) molecules are approximately 80 nucleotides in length.
Source: RNAcentral
UUGUGUAGUGUAGCGGUUAGCACGGAGCACUUUGACGCUGUAGAAAUCGCAACGCAAUGCUUCAUCCUCGGUUCGAAUCCGGGCAC